UCUUCUAGUGUCUCCGGAGACCGGGCAAGA
This 30-nucleotide small RNA is filed under the name Bombyx mori (domestic silkworm). Its description in RNAcentral is "ovarian small RNA-30149". Lineage: Eukaryota; Metazoa; Arthropoda; Insecta; Lepidoptera; Bombycidae. The record is from RNAcentral.